Molecule: ribosomal RNA, 253 nt
Filed under: uncultured bacterium
Lineage: Bacteria
Description: partial 16S ribosomal RNA
Rfam family: Bacterial small subunit ribosomal RNA
Source: RNAcentral
UACAGAGGGUGCGAGCGUUGUCCGGAAUCACUGGGCGUAAAGGGCGCGUAGGUGGCGCGACAAGUCAGUGGUGAAAGUUCGACGCUCAACGUCGAAUCGGCCACUGAUACUGUUGGGCUUGAGCACUGUAGAGGCUAAUGGAAUUCCGGGUGUAGCGGUGAAAUGCGCAGAUAUCGGGAGGAACACCGGUGGCGAAGGCGGUUCUCUGGGCCUUACCUGACGCUGAGGAGCGAAAGCGUGGGGAGCGAACAGG